GGUUGUAAAGCACUUUCAGUGGGGAGGAAAGGUCGAAGGUUAAUACCCUUUGGCUGUGACGUUACCCACAGAAGAAGCACCGGCUAACUCCGUGCCAGCAGCCGCGGUAAUACGGAGGGUGCGAGCGUUAAUCGGAAUUACUGGGCGUAAAGCGUGCGCAGGCGGCCAUUUAAGUUGGAUGUGAAAGCCCCGGGCUCAACCUGGGAACUGCAUCCAAAACUGGGUGGCUUGAGUGCGAGAGAGGAGUGUGGAAUUUCCUGUGUAGCGGUGAAAUGCGUAGAUAUAGGAAGGAACACCAGUGGCGAAGGCGACACUCUGGCUUGACACUGACGCUGAGGUACGAAAGCGUGGGGAGCAAACAGGAUUAGAUACCCUGGUAGUCCACGCCGUAAACGAUGUCUACUAGUUGUCGGUGGUCUUGUACUGCUGGUAACGCAGCUAACGCGAUAAGUAGACCGCCUGGGGA
Molecule: ribosomal RNA, 466 nt
Filed under: uncultured bacterium
Lineage: Bacteria
Description: bacterial SSU rRNA
Rfam family: Bacterial small subunit ribosomal RNA
Source: RNAcentral